GGCUCAGAUUGAACGCUGGCGGCAUGCUUUACACAUGCAAGUCGAACGGUAACAGGUCUUCGGAUGCUGACGAGUGGCGAACGGGUGAGUAAUGUAUCGGAACGUGCCCAGUAGUGGGGGAUAACUACUCGAAAGAGUGGCUAAUACCGCAUGAGAACUGAGGUUGAAAGCGGGGGACCUUCGGGCCUCGCGCUACUGGAGCGGCCGAUAUCAGAUUAGGUAGUUGGUGGGGUAAAGGCCUACCAAGCCGACGAUCUGUAGCUGGUCUGAGAGGACGACCAGCCACACUGGGACUGAGACACGGCCCAGACUCCUACGGGAGGCAGCAGUGGGGAAUUUUGGACAAUGGACGCAAGUCUGAUCCAGCAAUGCCGCGUGCAGGACGAAGGCCUUCGGGUUGUAAACUGCUUUUGUACAGAACGAAAAGGCUCUGGUUAAUACCUGGGGCUCAUGACGGUACUGUAAGAAUAAGCACCGGCUAACUACGUG
Molecule: ribosomal RNA, 489 nt
Filed under: uncultured bacterium
Lineage: Bacteria
Description: bacterial SSU rRNA
Rfam family: Bacterial small subunit ribosomal RNA
Source: RNAcentral